This 271-nucleotide long non-coding RNA is filed under the name Urocitellus parryii (Arctic ground squirrel). Its description in RNAcentral is "lncRNA (ENSUPAG00010018175.1)". The record is from RNAcentral. Lineage: Eukaryota; Metazoa; Chordata; Mammalia; Rodentia; Sciuridae.
CGCCGGGGAGGCAAAGCCGGGAGAAACUGCUGAGACGAGGUGGUCAACACUGCCUGGCCCUAGGAUCAGCUGGAAACUCACUGCUUCAGGCCACAGGGUCCCUGGCCCUGGAAGAGCUGGGGGCAGAGCCAGAGGGCGGCCUUCCCAGGACGGCCCCCUCCCUUCUCCCCACAGCUCCAGGGCCACAGCUGCUCCUCCUCUGCAGGGAGUGGCACGACCACUUCUCCAGGCCCAGGCCCCUCAGCUCCCGCACGCCCUGGAACGCCACCCC